GAUGAACGCUAGCGGCAGGCCUAAUACAUGCAAGUCGAACGGGAUCUGAGGGUAGCUUGCUACCCGAUUUGAGAGUGGCGCACGGGUGCGUAACGCGUGAGCAACCUACCCAUAUCAGGGGGAUAGCCCGGAGAAAUUCGGAUUAAUACCGCAUAAGAAUGUAUUAACACAUGUUAAAGCAUUUAAAUAUUUAUAGGAUAUGGAUGGGCUCGCGUGACAUUAGCUAGUUGGUGAGGUAACGGCUCACCAAGGCGACGAUGUCUAGGGGCUCUGAGAGGAGAAUCCCCCACACUGGUACGGAGACACGGACCAGACUCCUACGGGAGGCAGCAGUAAGGAAUAUUUGUCAAUGGGCGAAAGCCUGAACCAGCCAUGCCGCGUGCAGGAUGACUGCCCUAUGGGUUGUAAACUGCUUUUGUCGAGGAAUAAACCUAUCUACGUGUAGCUAGUUGAACGUACUCGAAGAAUAAGGAUCGGCUAACUCCGUGCCAGCCGCCGCGGUAA
This 504-nucleotide ribosomal RNA is filed under the name uncultured bacterium. Its description in RNAcentral is "partial 16S ribosomal RNA". It matches the Rfam family "Bacterial small subunit ribosomal RNA", at positions 28 to 523 of the family's 1533-position model. The record is from RNAcentral.